GCCCAGGUGGUGAAAUUGGUAUACACGCUACCUUGAGGUGGUAGUGGCCGUUCGGUCGUGCUGGUUCAAGUCCAGUCCUGGGCA
This 84-nucleotide transfer RNA is filed under the name Candidatus Kaiserbacteria bacterium. RNAcentral describes it as "tRNA-Leu". It matches the Rfam family "tRNA". Rfam says of the family: Transfer RNA (tRNA) molecules are approximately 80 nucleotides in length. Their secondary structure includes four short double-helical elements and three loops (D, anti-codon, and T loops). Lineage: Bacteria; Candidatus Kaiseribacteriota. The record is from RNAcentral. RNAcentral also lists the same sequence under 1 other name.